RNAcentral lists this unclassified non-coding RNA (230 nucleotides) under uncultured fungus. Its description in RNAcentral is "sequence contains ITS2". Lineage: Eukaryota; Fungi. The record is from RNAcentral.
AACGCACAUUGCACCUUUUGGUAUUCCGAAAGGUAUACUUGUUCGAGCGCCGUUUCAUAAUUCAAGCUUUUGCUUGGUGUUGAAUGAGUUACUUUGGUAACCAAUCGAAAUUCUUGGGCAUUGAAGUCAAAUCCAAAGCGUGACAACUCUCGCUAUAGAAAUGAUAAUCAAUAGCCAGUUUUUUUUGAAUUGAUGGCCUCGGAUCAAGUAAGGUUACCCGCUGAACUUAA